RNAcentral lists this ribosomal RNA (1177 nucleotides) under Quadristernoseta cf. longigynium XFX-2019. RNAcentral describes it as "16S ribosomal RNA". The stretch from base 792 to 1114 matches the Rfam family "Archaeal large subunit ribosomal RNA", at positions 2151 to 2715 of the family's 2987-position model. The record is from RNAcentral. Lineage: Eukaryota; Metazoa; Arthropoda; Arachnida; Mesostigmata; Diplogyniidae.
GUAUAGUUAGAUUAAAUUUGAAUGUUGGAGUUUUUUAUAAAUUUUAUUGUUAAAUAAUUAAGAAUUAUUUUUAAAAGAAUUUUUUACUGUAAAGGAUGUUUGAAAUAAUUUUGAUAAUAAAAUAUAUAUAAAGAUAUAAAUUUUACCUUUUGUAUUAGGGAUUAAUAAUUAAAUUUAAAUAUUUAAAGUUCCCGAAUAAUAAAGAGUUAGUGUAAUAUAUCUAUAUUGUUGAAUAAAUAUUAAGAAUAUUAUACUGGUAAUGAAAUUUUAGUCAAUUUAUUGGAUAUCUGGUUAUAUUAAUAUUUUAUAUGAAAUUUUAUAAUGGGUUUUUAUUUUAAAAUGUUAUAAAUUAGGUUGUAGGGAUAAGCUUAUACUUUAAUUAUAAGGGGUAUGUAUAUUUAUUAGAGGCUUAUAAUUAGCUUAUUAUUGUAAUAAAGGAUUAUGUAUAAGGGGAAUUAUUAAUUAUAUAAUAUUAUAUAUAUAAUUUUCUAUUUAUUUAAUAAUGUUAAUAUGAGUAUAAUUAAAGAGAGAAUAUGAAAUUUAAUUUUUAGGAAUUCGGCAUAAUAUUAGUAAUAAUAUGUAGAUUUGACUGUUUAACAAAAACAUUUCUUUACGUUUUAUGUGAAGUAUAUCCUGCUCAAUGAUUAUUGUAAAUUGCCGUGGUAUUUUAACUAUGCGAAGGUAUUGAAAUAAGUCUUUAAUUGGGAGCUAAGAGAAUGGGUGAACAAAUUUAAACUUUUUUAAAAUUAAUAUUAUAAUUUUUUGUUAUAGUGAGGAUUCUAUAAUAAUGUAAUGGGACGAGAAGACCCUAUGAAUUUUUAUUUAUAUCAUAGAUGUGAUAGUUUUUAAAUUUAGAAUAAAUUUAAUUGGGGCGAUUUUAAAUAAAGUAUAACUUUAUGAAGAUCCUAUAAUAUUGGAUUUAUUGAGAAAAAUACUCUAGGGAUAACAGCGUAAUCAUUUUUGAUAGUUCAUAUAGAAAAAAUGGUUUGCGACCUCGAUGUUGGGUUAAUAAGUCUUUUAGGUGUAGAAGCUUAAAAAGAGAGUUUGUUCAACUUUUAAAUUAUUACAUGAUCUGAGUUCAGACCGGCGUGAGCCAGGUUAGUUUCUAUCUAUUUAGUGAUAUUUUUUAAUAUUAGUACGAAAGGAAUAUAUUACUAUAAUUAUUAUUAAGAGAGAA